RNAcentral lists this ribosomal RNA (461 nucleotides) under Evadne nordmanni. RNAcentral describes it as "bacterial SSU rRNA". It matches the Rfam family "Eukaryotic small subunit ribosomal RNA", at positions 1255 to 1548 of the family's 1831-position model. Lineage: Eukaryota; Metazoa; Arthropoda; Branchiopoda; Diplostraca; Podonidae. The record is from RNAcentral.
CUCUUUCUUGAUUCGGUGGGUGGUGGUGCAUGGCCGUUCUUAGUUGGUGGAGCGAUUUGUCUGGUUAAUUCCGAUAACGAACGAGACUCUAGCCUGCUAAAUAGGUGGCGGGUUUUAUCAUUGAAUUUUGGGUUCGGAGUUCGCCGGGAUCAGAGUUGGCGUUGCUCUCUGUCUCGUCGAGGCGUGUUGGGGAGUGAGGUGUCGUUGCCCUGGGUUUCGGCUCCGGGUGGCGGUGUUUUGGUUCCCUUCGCGGUUAGGCCGGGCGGAGUGUGGCGUUGGCUCCCCGGCGGUCGGCUUCGUUCUCGCGUCCGUCACAACUCUUCUUAGAGGGACAAGCGGCGUCCAGCCGCGUGACAGUGAGCAAUAACAGGUCUGUGAUGCCCUUAGAUGUCCUGGGCCGCACGCGCGCUACACUGAAGGAAUCAGCGUGUUUUUCUCCCCCUGUCCGAAAGGACCGGGUA